Molecule: ribosomal RNA, 253 nt
Filed under: uncultured bacterium
Lineage: Bacteria
Description: partial 16S ribosomal RNA
Rfam family: Bacterial small subunit ribosomal RNA
Source: RNAcentral
UACGUAGGGAGCAAGCGUUGUCCGGAAUCAUUGGGCGUAAAGCGCGCGUAGGCGGCCUCAUAAGUCCGUUGUGAAAGUCAAAGGCUCAACCUUUGAAAGCCGAUGGAUACUGUGAGGCUAGAGUCCGGAAGAGGCGAGUGGAAUUCCCGGUGUAGCGGUGAAAUGCGCAGAUAUCGGGAAGAACACCCGUGGCGAAGGCGGUUCUCUGGGCCUGACCUGACGCUGAGGAGCGAAAGCAUGGGGAGCGAACAGG